This 440-nucleotide ribosomal RNA is filed under the name uncultured bacterium. Its description in RNAcentral is "bacterial SSU rRNA". It matches the Rfam family "Bacterial small subunit ribosomal RNA", at positions 57 to 518 of the family's 1533-position model. The record is from RNAcentral.
GCAAGUUGUGCGGUGAUCUCAAGAAGUUUCGGACGGAAAGGGAGAGCAGCAGCGGACGGGUGAGUAAAGCACAAGGACUGUCCCGAAGAGGGGGACAACUGUGGGAAACCACAGCUAAUACCCAUAAGCCGAGAGGUGAAAGCAGUAAUGCGCUUUAGGAGAGACUUGUGUCCUAUCAGGUAGUUGGUGAGGUAACGGCUCACCAAGCCGAAGACGGGUAGCCGGACUGAGAGGUUGUACGGCCACAUUGGAACUGAGAGACGGUCCAGACUCCUACGGGAGGCAGCAGUGGGGAAUAUUGGGCAAUGGGGGGCCAACCCUGACCCAGCGACGCCGCGUGAGGGAAGACAGCCUUCGGGUUGUAAACCUCUGUUGCAGGGGAAGAAGAAAGUGACGGUACCCUGCGAGGAAGCUCCGGCAAACUACGUGCCAGCCGCCGC